Gigantopelta aegis is the source of this 421-nucleotide long non-coding RNA. RefSeq lists it as uncharacterized. The record is from RefSeq and is a predicted model, not a curated record. Lineage: Eukaryota; Metazoa; Mollusca; Gastropoda; Neomphalida; Peltospiridae. The transcript has 2 exons.
AAAUAACGUCAGACUUGCCAUGAUCACUUAUGCCAAUGAAAACAGAAAAGCUGUGUGUCUCUCGCAGUGUUACAAGUUCGUGACGUGUAAUGAAACAAAGAGGAUUUUCACUGAAAACGACAUAUUGCUUUCCAGACGCUUGUCUUCAAAUUGAAAUUAAUUACAUUGAUCAUGUUUUGGUAAGCCGUAAUUCUUCUUUCUACAAUCUCGUAAAACAAUAAAUACGGAAUUGAAAGGGUUUUAGAUACCUUUUUUUUUCGUUUGACAGUAUUUCAUGACGGUGAAUAUAUUCCUUCUAAGCCAUUGAUCCAAAAUGAUAUGUGACAUUUUGUCUUAUUUGCCGAAGUGCUAGAUAAAAAUCUGUAGAUUUUUUUAACAUUUGACACAAAGUAGUUAUAAAUAAAAUAAACGUUUUUCUUUG